GCCGGUGUAGCUCAGUUGGCUAGAGCACCUGACUGUGGAUCAGGAGGCCGCGGGUUCGAGUCCCGCCGCCGGUA
RNAcentral lists this transfer RNA (74 nucleotides) under Planctomycetota bacterium. Its description in RNAcentral is "tRNA-His". It matches the Rfam family "tRNA". From Rfam's summary of the family: Transfer RNA (tRNA) molecules are approximately 80 nucleotides in length. Their secondary structure includes four short double-helical elements and three loops (D, anti-codon, and T loops). The record is from RNAcentral. RNAcentral also lists the same sequence under 1 other name. Lineage: Bacteria; Pseudomonadati; Planctomycetota.